This 68-nucleotide transfer RNA is filed under the name Zecheuna tonkinensis. RNAcentral describes it as "tRNA-Val". The record is from RNAcentral. Lineage: Eukaryota; Metazoa; Arthropoda; Insecta; Hemiptera; Flatidae.
CAGAUAAUUUACUGGGUAAUUAAUUUAUUUACAAUAAAUUUAAUUUUGUUCGAUUCAAAUUUGUCUGA